AAAAAAAAAAACUUGAGAGGGAGCUCCAAGAAGAUGACACAGCUCAAAAUAAAAAUUAGGUAUAUUCUCGUAAAGUCAAGUGAGCCAUGACAUAUGAGCUCUUAUUGUGAGCACACAGGACGGUGGCAUCUUUCUAAGGUUUUUUUAUUUUCCCAGCAAUCAGUACAACCAAGUCAUCGUUAUAAGGCAUCGCCCUCUUUUGCCCACCCCCCAGCACCAGGUGUGGCCACUAGCCUAUAUGAAGGCCCAAAAUUGUGUGUUCCUUUCUGCUCUGACAAUGGCAUGCCCAUUCGUGCGAGAUGUGGUGGAUGAAGAAGCACUUGUGCUGAGGAGAGCCUUCAGGCGAGAAAGGGUCUUCAGGGACCGGUUGGACCCACUGGCCUUCCCUGAUGACCAUCUAUAUGAAAGAUACAGGUUUUCUGCAGAUGGCAUCAGGUAUCUAUGCAGACUACUGGGUCCCAGGAUUAAGCACCGCACUGCACGGAGCCAUGCACUGAGUGUGGAGCAAAUGGUUUGUGUGGCCUUGCGCUUUUUGCUAGUGGAGCCUUCCUGUACUCAGUGGGGGAUGCAGAACAGCUGAACAAGGCCACAAUUUGCCGCACAAUAAGGAGUGUGUGUCUGGCUAUCAAAGCAUUAGCAGAUGUCUUCAUCUCCUUCCCUGGCCACAGAAGACUCUGUGACAUCAAAGAGGAGUUCUAUAGGAUUGCAGAUGGUCUGCAAUGCUGACUGUGUGAUCAGCAAUGUUGUGGCAAAAUGGCCUGGCUCAGUCCAUGACUCCAGAAUCUUUCGGGCCUCUGAAAUCUAUCAGUGCCUAUCACAAGGUGAAUUCUCUGGUGUGUUGCUGGGAGACAGGGGUAUGGCUGCCAGC
Oncorhynchus nerka (sockeye salmon) is the source of this 868-nucleotide long non-coding RNA. RefSeq lists it as uncharacterized. The record is from RefSeq and is a predicted model, not a curated record. Lineage: Eukaryota; Metazoa; Chordata; Actinopteri; Salmoniformes; Salmonidae. The transcript is spliced from 4 exons.